AACUAACGCUGGCGGCGUGCCUAACACAUGCAAGUCGUACGAGAAAGUUGGCUUCGGCCGAUGAGUACAGUGGCGCACGGGUGAGUAACGCGUGGAUAAUCUGCCCUUAAGUGUGGAAUAACGUACCGAAAGGUGCGCUAAUACCGCAUAAUGCCUGGCAACAUAAGUUGUCCGGCCAAAGAAGGCCUCUGCUUGCAAGCUUUCGCUAAAGGAUGAGUCCGCGUACCAUUAGCUAGUUGGUGGGGUAACGGCCUACCAAGGCGACGAUGGUUAGCUGGUCUGAGAGGAUGAUCAGCCACACUGGGACUGGAACACGGACCAGACUCCUACGGGAGGCAGCAGUGAGGAAUAUUGGUCAAUGGCGCAAGCCUGAACCAGCCAUCCCGCGUGAAGGAUGACGGCCCUAUGGGUUGUAACUGCUUUUCCACGGGAAGAACCUCCGACGUGUCGGAGACUGACGGUACCGUGGGAAUAAGCAUCGGCUAACUCCGUGCC
RNAcentral lists this ribosomal RNA (495 nucleotides) under uncultured bacterium. RNAcentral's name for it is "bacterial SSU rRNA". It matches the Rfam family "Bacterial small subunit ribosomal RNA", at positions 29 to 509 of the family's 1533-position model. The record is from RNAcentral.